UAAAAACCUCAAGAAGAAGAAGAAGUAGGCCUUUCUUCCAUUUCCUCCAACCUAGAGCAUGAAGUGUGAUGGCUGGUAAACAAACAUUAAGGCACUUUGUGAGAAUUUAAGUGAAAUCAAAACUGAACUCGAUUCUAUACCGAAGGAAAAUAACAUUGAAGCAGCCCAACGGAAAACAUGCACCAUAUAGAACACAAAGGUAGGGGACUCUCGGGGGGGGCUUUAGGAACCCGAAGUCGGCCCACUAAUCCAGGCAUCGAUAGUCUGAGAGGUGCCCCUUGACCCUGGAGGCCAGGAGGUGAGCUGGAUUGGUUUGCUACCCCUGCUGAAUCCAUGUGUUCUCAUUCCGUCCGUCUGUCUCAAACCCAAUAUAUAUCUAGACGCAACAUAUACUGUAUAUGCUGAUUGGAUAAAAAAUGACAACAAUUCAUGUUCACCUACACACACACAAACAAGGUCCACCGUAGGUCCAAUCAGACAAUCUUUUCAAAGCAGCAGAGCACCUUUCAGAAUUCCCCAUUUGGUAUCAUUUAUCAGCGUGAA
Long non-coding RNA from Gadus chalcogrammus (walleye pollock), 543 nucleotides. RefSeq lists it as uncharacterized. Lineage: Eukaryota; Metazoa; Chordata; Actinopteri; Gadiformes; Gadidae. The transcript has 3 exons. The record is from RefSeq and is a predicted model, not a curated record.